GACGAACGCUGGCGGCGUGCUUAACACAUGCAAGUCGAACGGAAAGGCCCUGCUUUUGUGGGGUGCUCGAGUGGCGAACGGGUGAGUAACACGUGAGUAACCUGCCCUUGACUUUGGGAUAACUUCAGGAAACUGGGGUUAAUACCGGAUAGGAGCUCCUGCUGCAUGGUGGGGGUUGGAAAGUUUCGGCGGUUGGGGAUGGACUCGCGGCUGAUCAGCUUGUUGGUGGGGUAAUGGCUUACCAAGGCUUUGACGGGUAGCCGGCCUGAGAGGGUGACCGGCCACACGGGAGGGGAGACACCGUCCAGGGUCCUACGGGAGGCAGCAGCGGGGAAUGGUGGACAAUGGGGGGAAGCCUGAUGCAGCGAUGCCGCGCGUGUGAAGAAGGCCCUCGGUGCGGAAAGAGCGUUUAGGGGGGAGGAAGGGAGUUCAGUUAAUACCUGGGGGGAGUGACGUUACUGGCAGAAGAAGCACCGGCUAACUACGUG
RNAcentral lists this ribosomal RNA (488 nucleotides) under uncultured bacterium. Its description in RNAcentral is "partial 16S ribosomal RNA". It matches the Rfam family "Bacterial small subunit ribosomal RNA", at positions 28 to 507 of the family's 1533-position model. The record is from RNAcentral.